This 72-nucleotide transfer RNA is filed under the name Plectorhinchus lineatus (yellowbanded sweetlips). Its description in RNAcentral is "tRNA-Asp". It matches the Rfam family "tRNA". From Rfam's summary of the family: Transfer RNA (tRNA) molecules are approximately 80 nucleotides in length. Their secondary structure includes four short double-helical elements and three loops (D, anti-codon, and T loops). Lineage: Eukaryota; Metazoa; Chordata; Actinopteri; Lutjaniformes; Haemulidae. The record is from RNAcentral.
AAGACACUAGUAAAACAGUUAUUACACUGCCUUGUCGAGGCAGAUUUGUGGGUUCAACUCCCACGUGUCUUG